RNAcentral lists this long non-coding RNA (466 nucleotides) under Pogona vitticeps (central bearded dragon). RNAcentral describes it as "lncRNA (ENSPVIG00000000552.1)". The record is from RNAcentral. Lineage: Eukaryota; Metazoa; Chordata; Lepidosauria; Squamata; Agamidae.
GGACAGGAGCAAACGGAUCCGUCUCCGGGCCAAAUCCCUGGCGGGCAGAGAGGACAGGCCGUCGCUUGCAUCUCCACCCUGUGACCUUCGCUGAAGAAUCUGUGGGCUGAUCGGCGGUUCCAAAAUGGUCGCUGGGUAAACAAAAUGGCCACCCGAUGUGUUUUCGCGCCGAUUCCUCGCUUACCGGGCAGCAAAAAUGGUGGCCGUAUGGAGGAUUUUCGCUUUAAGGAGGUGGCUGUGCAUUUCAACCAGGGGAGCAAGGGUGUGCUGGACUGAGGCCAGACAGCUCCGCAGAAAGACGUCAUGCUGGAGGCUGAAGGGAACGAGGCCUCUCCAGGUAAGGGAUCCCUUUGCAUUUCAUAUUUGUAUUUUUCACCGCACUGUUGACCUGGUUGGAAGUGGGCAACCAGAUCCUAUGCCUUCGAAGCUGCCUUGCGCCUGGCUUGAGCUUUGCUGGUACCAUUUU